RNAcentral lists this ribosomal RNA (592 nucleotides) under Erythrobasidium hasegawianum. RNAcentral's name for it is "eukaryotic LSU rRNA". It matches the Rfam family "Eukaryotic large subunit ribosomal RNA", at positions 65 to 674 of the family's 3401-position model. Lineage: Eukaryota; Fungi; Basidiomycota; Cystobasidiomycetes; Erythrobasidiales; Erythrobasidiaceae. The record is from RNAcentral.
CUACCUGGCAUUCCCUAGUACGGCGAGUGAAGUGGGAAAAGCUCAACUUUGAAAUCUGGCUGUUUUACAGUCCGAGUUGUAGUCUCGAGAAGUGUUUUCCGCGUUAAACCGUGUAUGAGUCUGUUGGAACACAGCGUCAUAGAGGGUGAGAACCCCGUUCAUGACACGGCUUUUAAUGCUUUGUGAUGCAUUUUCGAUGAGUCGAGUUGUUUGGGAAUGCAGCUCAAAUUGGGUGGUAAAUUCCAUCUAAAGCUAAAUAUUGGCGAGAGACCGAUAGCAAACAAGUACCGUGAGGGAAAGAUGAAAAGCACUUUGGAAAGAGAGUUAAAAGUACGUGAAAUUGUCGAAAGGGAAACGCUUGAAGUCAGACGUGCACGGGAUUUAUUCCUAUUGCAGGCCAACAUCGGUUUUACGAGCCGGAUAAAGGUACAAGGAAGGUAGCAGUUUCGGCUGUGUUAUAGCCUCGUACUGAAUACGGAUUGUGAGACCGAGGGACGCAGCGCGCCGCAAGGCAAAGGGUCCGCCCUUUUCGCGCUUAGGAUGUUGGUGAAAUGGCUUUAAUCGACCCGUCUUGAAACACGGACCAAAAAAA